RNAcentral lists this non-coding RNA (30 nucleotides) under Mus musculus (house mouse). The record is from RNAcentral. Lineage: Eukaryota; Metazoa; Chordata; Mammalia; Rodentia; Muridae.
UGGUCUGUAUCUAUUCUGCUACUGCUUUGU